UGGGGAAUAUUGCACAAUGGGCGCAAGCCUGAUGCAGCCAUGCCGCGUGUGUGAAGAAGGCCUUCGGGUUGUAAAGCACUUUCAGCGGGGAGGAAGGCGGUGAGGUUAAUAACCUCAUCGAUUGACGUUACCCGCAGAAGAAGCACCGGCUAACUCCGUGCCAGCAGCCGCGGUAAUACGGAGGGUGCAAGCGUUAAUCGGAAUUACUGGGCGUAAAGCGCACGCAGGCGGUCUGUCAAGUCGGAUGUGAAAUCCCCGGGCUCAACCUGGGAACUGCAUUCGAAACUGGCAGGCUAGAGUCUUGUAGAGGGGGGUAGAAUUCCAGGUGUAGCGGUGAAAUGCGUAGAGAUCUGGAGGAAUACCGGUGGCGAAGGCGGCCCCCUGGACAAAGACUGACGCUCAGGUGCGAAAGUGUGGGGAGCAAACAGGAUUAGAUACCCUGGUAGUCCACGCCGUAAACGAUGUCGAUUUGGAGGUUGUGCCCUUGAGGCGUGGCUUCCGGAGCUAACGCGUUAAAUCGACCGCCUGGGGAGUACGGCCGCAAGGUUA
This 549-nucleotide ribosomal RNA is filed under the name uncultured bacterium. RNAcentral describes it as "bacterial SSU rRNA". It matches the Rfam family "Bacterial small subunit ribosomal RNA", at positions 355 to 896 of the family's 1533-position model. The record is from RNAcentral.